This 446-nucleotide ribosomal RNA is filed under the name uncultured bacterium. RNAcentral describes it as "partial 16S ribosomal RNA". It matches the Rfam family "Bacterial small subunit ribosomal RNA", at positions 338 to 795 of the family's 1533-position model. The record is from RNAcentral.
CCUACGGGGGGCAGCAGUCGAGAAUCAUUCACAAUGGGGGAAACCCUGAUGGUGCGACGCCGCGUGGGGGAAUGAAGGUCUUCGGAUUGUAAACACCUGUCAUGUGGGAGCAAAUUAAAAAGAUAGUACCACAAGAGGAAGAGACGGCUAACUCUGUGACAGCAGCCGCGGUAAUACAGAGGUCUCAAGCGUUGUUCGGAAUCACUGGGCGUAAAGGGGGCGUAGGCUGUUUGGUAAGUCGUGUGUGAAAGGCGCGGGCUCAACCCGCGGACGGCACAUGAUACUGCGAGACUAGAGUAAUGGAGGGGGAACCGGAAUUCUCGGUGUAGCAGUGAAAUGCGUAGAUAUCGAGAGGAACACUCGUGGCGAAGGCGGGUUCCUGGACAUUAACUGACGCUGAGGCACGAAGGCCAGGGGAGCGAAAGGGAUUAGAUACCCUAGUAGUC